This 408-nucleotide ribosomal RNA is filed under the name Triticum aestivum (bread wheat). Its description in RNAcentral is "partial small subunit ribosomal RNA". The record is from RNAcentral. Lineage: Eukaryota; Viridiplantae; Streptophyta; Magnoliopsida; Poales; Poaceae.
AUGAUGAUGAAAUCCAAGUUUGUUGUGCCGGUGAUCCUGAUGUUGGCGAUCACGGCGCUCUUCGUCCGGUCGAGCUCGGCGCGGCCGUUGGGCGGCAAUGCGCAGACAGGAGAGUCCGCUGCCGGCGUAGUCACCGGCGAGUCCAUCCUCCAGCUUCUCCAGCGACUGUAUCUGCAGAACCUGCUGGGACUGGGAGGGCCAGGGGCGUCGUGCGGGACGAACAGCACCAAUGGUGGAUGCCCACCCCCACCUUCAGGAUUAUCCCCUCGGUGGGAGCCGACUUUCGUGUUGAUAGCGAGAUGUCUAUAUGCAUGCUUCGUCCCUGCUUAUCCUUUCUCGUCGCAUACCACCUUGCAAAAGAAUUUACCAUCCCUCUCCACUACCCUGCCAUUGGAUUCCGAGCUUUAA